CUGCUUGGAUAAUCUGGAUUAUAUGGCAAUGUAGAAGGGGCUUACAUUUUUCCAAUUGUCUAUGGCCCCUUCUACAUUGCCAUAUAAUCCAGAUUUUCCAAGCAGAUAAUCCACAUUAUCUUCUUUGGAUUAUCUGAAUCCACACUGCCAUAUAACCCUGAAUAUCAAGGCAGGUAUCAGGGCAAUAUCUGCUUUGAAUUGAGGGCCCUUCCACACAGAAGGAGCCCCGGUGGCGAAGUGUGUUAAAGCACUGAGCUGCUGAACUUGCAGACAGAACCCCGGGAGCGGCGUGAGCGACCGCUGUUAGCUCCAGCUCCUGCCAACCUAGCAGUUCGAAAACAUGUCAAUGAGAGUAGAUAAAUAGGUACCGCUCCAGCAGGAAGGUAAUGGAGUUCCAUGCAGUCAUGCCGACCACAUGACCUUGGAGGUGUCUACGGACAACGCCGGCUCUUUGGCUUAGAAAUGGAGUUGAGGACCAACCCCCAGAGUCAGACAUGACUGGACUUAACAUCUGGGGAAACCCUUACCUUUUUACCACACAGCUGUAUAAAAUCUCACAUUACUUGCUUUGAACUGGAAUGUAUAGCAGUGUGGACUCGGAUAACCCAGUUCAAAGCAGCUAUUGUGGGAUUUUGUGCCUUCAUAUUCUGGGUUAUAUGGCUGUGUGGCAUGUCCCUGAGUCCACACUGCCAUAUAUCCCAGCAGAUAAUGUGAGAUUUUAUUCAGCUGUGUGGAAGAGCCCACACAGCUCUAUAUCCCAGAGUAUCAAGGCAGAAAAUCCCACAUUAUCUGAGUGUGGACUCAGAUAACUCAGUACGAAGCAGAUAUUGUGGGAUUUUCUGCCCUGAUAUUCAGAGAUAUAGGGCUGUGUGGACGGGUCCUGGGUCUAUGCUGCUAUAUAAUCCAGUUCAAAGCAGAUAAUCUGGAUUUUUAGUCUGUGCGGAAGGGGCCUUUAUUUCAAAUUUCUGUAAACUUUGCCACUCACCAAAGCCUGCUCAGCCUGCUCUCCAGGACUUGGGUUCUGUUUUGGCAACAGAAGGAAAAAUAUUGUGCAAAUAACAGAAACAGAAGACAUUCAACUGGAAAAGAAAGUUAAAAUUCAAGUUUAGUGUUGACAUUCACUUACAGUCAUGGGGGGGGGUCAUUUGUAGCAAAUUACAAACUUGAGCCCUCCAGAUGUUUUGGACUGCAACUCCCACAAUUCCUAACAGCCUACCGGCUGUUAGGAAUUGUGGGAGUUGAAGUCCAAACCAUCUGGAGGGCCCAAGUUUGCCCAGGCCUGGCAUAGAGGCGCACAAUGAGGGAGUUUCUGAAGUGCUGGUGCUUCCCUCUGAGGGGACAAUCCUUGGGGCGGCCUACCUCUCUCCCAAGAUGGCGGCGGCCCCGCCUCCUCCACUUCUGUGGGGCGGGAUGAUGGCGCCUCCUCCUCCUCCUCUCCCUCUCCUUCUCCGGGCGGGGCAGCGGGACUUCCAGCAGCAGCAACAGCAGCACCCGACGGAGCGGGAGGAGAGGAAGGAGAGCCGGGCAGGAGGGCGCUCUUCGGCUUCUCCCCCUGGAACACAUAUCACGUGAGACUGUUUGUGGUGGAAGUAAAAGUGAAAAGAAAAGGCAUGUGUAUUGGCUUUCUGCUUCCAGGCUAGAGAGAUUUCAUGGUGGUGUGUGAUUGUUUUGCAUCAGAAGAAGGCCGGGAACUUCCUGAGCCUGUCAACAAGAUUGGCUAAGCAAGUAGAUUCAAGUUUGAAGGAAGUUAGCUGUGUAAUGUCUUGGGCCUGCCCUAGGUGAUGUUCACAUCCUUGCUUUUUUACUCCCUUUUCUUUUAAAUAUUUUGUUUGCAUCCUCAUGCUAAUGAGUUAAAAAGUGAUCAACUUUUAAUAAGAAAUUAUAUUUAUUUUUAGAUCUUCUUGUUGUCUGCUUUUAAGUUGUUUCCAACAUGGCAACGAACCUAUCAUUGUUCUUUUUUCUGGUAAGAUUUGUUCAAAGGUUGAGAGAAUGUGAUUUGCCCCAGGACUUCAGUGGUAAUUCAGUGCUCAAGCCACUAUCUAUCUGUAAUUUAAAUUUUAUUUACUUCUGAAUGUAGAAGAGUAAUACCUGCUAAAAGAAAACUUAAGAUUGUUCCUUACAUUACUAUACAAAUGCACACUUUAAAAAGUUUGUAUUAUUAGUGUGAUCAUGCCAGGAACAAAUCCACAACAUGAUAAAAGUGCAGGUAUAAUCCACACAUUCAACUGAAUUCUAAAGAGAACCCCAGAUUUUGUCAUUUUAUAUAAAGGACAACACUUUAGUAGUCAUUGAACAUAAUGGGUUUUGGGCAUGGUCAGAUUUGAUAUCCAUGGGGGUCCAGGAACCAAGGGCUCUCAUGUUUGCUUAAAAAAACACAAAAAAUAACAUAAAUGGGUCAGUCUGUUCCAGUUUCCUGUUAUUGUGAUAAUCAGCUUCUUUUAAAAUGUUGCUUGGCCUGUAAAUAAUUUUCUUUUUCUGUAUUUACUGUAUGUGUAUAUAUUUCUAUAAACAUAUAUAAGCAGACAAAUAUAUUCCUGAUUGUUGUUGGUGUUGGUGGGUGUUGAUUUCCAAGUCACCUACCCUAACGUCAGCAGCUCAGCUCAAGCCUUGCAGAUUCAGAGCUGUGGUUUCCUUGAUUGAGUCUAUCCACCUGGGAUGCGAUAUUCUUUUUGUGCUGCCUUCUACCUUGCUGAGCAUUAUUGUUUUUUCCAGUGAGCUGUGUUUUCUCAUGAUUUGACCAAAGUGCGACCGUUUCAUUGUUCAGGCUAGAAUUGCUUUUUUUUUUUCUUUUUUAACAGUCCACAGUAUUAAUCUGUAGUACUAUUCUCUGCAACUGCAUUUCAAAUUAGUUGAUUCCUUCCCUAUCUGCUCUUUUCAACUUUCUUGCUUUCACAACCAUACAUAGAAAUGGAAAGUAUGAUGGCUUGUUUUCUUAAUGUAAAAUUGUUUUUGCACUUUUUUAAACAGUUAUUCCAAGCUUAAUAGUUUCUGCUAGUAGAAUGGUGUCAUUUACAUAUUUUAAAUUGUAAAUGUUCCUUUAAUUUUCACACUCUUUAAUCAUGCUUUACAUAUGAUAUAUUUUAUUAAGUUGUUUUUAUUUAGUUAUUUGCAGACUUGUGAAGCUAUAAUUGGUUAUUUAAUCUCCAAAAAGUGUAUUUUUCUGCAAGGACUAGGAUUCUAAAUGUUUGGUUAGAUGAUGUCCAAGUCAGAUAGUUGUGUUAUUAAGACAAAUAAAGUAUACCCUUGAAGUGUUCAGGAAACAAUGACAAAGUUCCUUGAGUCAGACUGUGUAGUACCUACUUAUCAUAGCAAUAGCAGUGAUAUCACAAAUUCGGGUAGGCUGAAAUUGCAGUGGGAGACUCAGUGAUUUCAUAGGCUUAGCAUAUAUUGGUCCUCCCAGGAAGGAGGAAUUGUGAAAGUGUGGGUGACUUACUGAAGCCCAAUGUGGGUAUUACUUGUCCAGCAGAAUGAAUUUUAAAGUAACCCAUAAUCUUUUCAAUUAAUGCUAUUCCCUUCAAAGAGUAGAAAACACAUAUUGGAGCUUCAUGGGUAUUUUUGAAAAAGUUUCACACACAUUUUAAAUUCCUACCAAGAUCUUACACUAUGCAUUGUGUCCUUCGCUAUGCCCCAAACAUUCUUAUGCAGGUGCAUAUGUGAAAAACUUUACUAAUUCAAUCACAGUAAAUCUAUUUAAUCAAAGAGACCCGUACAAGUCUCAAUGUCUCAGGAUAUAGGGCAGUAUAGAUCCAGCCUAAGAGACCAAGGAUCAGAUCUCCAUUCAGGCAAAGAGACCUACUGGCUAACUUUGGGCAAGUAACUCCUUCAGUCUUAGAGGAAAGCAAUGGCUAAUCUCUGAAUAAAUCUUUCAGAAAACCUAUGAUAGGGUUUCAGUAAGACAGAAUUAUUUUGGAGGCAUAUAACAAACAGUAAUGGAUAUGUAUGUGUAAUGCACUGUGGACUAGGACAGUGCUUCUUAUGCUAUGUGGACCCUCAAGUCUGUACCCAUUGGGUACAGUUGUUUCUUUCUUUUCUAGAUACUUGUUAGAGACCAGCGGCCAAUUGUGCAGGUAAUAACUAGUGUUAGUCUUAAGAGAACUUUAAAUAAUGCUGUACUAGGAUAUUGAUACUGGCAUUAAAUAAGGGAAAACAUACAAUAACUUCCAUCCUUCCCUAAAAUAGGCAGUCAAACUGCAUUAGUAUAAAUCUGGUACUAUUUGUGAGAGGAACUCACAGCCCAAACUUAUUUUAUUGGAGCUGCUUUGUUUCUUAUUUGGAACAAUUUGCAGAUCUAUAAAAGCUUGACUCACCUUUUACUGAAGUAGAUUUUUCUGCUUAAAUUUCCUUUGGCAUUGAACAAUCCUUGUGCAGAAAGGACAGUUCCAUUGUCUGAGAAAGUAUAUAUAUAUACAGUGUAUAUAUUUGUAAUUGGAUGCUGUUCUAUUCUGCUUUGGUCAGACCUCUCUUGGAAUACUGUGUUCAGAUGAAGGUGACUAAAAAUCUAGAAAUGGUGCCCUUUGAGUAGUAGCUUAAAGAGUUGGGUAUGUUUAGCCUACAAAAGAUAAGGAUGAGAAGAGACAUGAUAGCCAUAGUUUAAUAUUUGAAAGGCCGCCAUAAGGAAAAGGGAGCAGAGCAGACCUGUUUUCUGCUGCCCUGGAGACUAGGACUUGGAACAAUAGGUUCAAAUUCCAGGAAAGGAGAUUCCACCUGAACAUUAGGAAAAACUUCCUGACCGCGAGAGCUGUUCCAGAGUGGAACUCACUGCAUCAGAAUGUGGUGGAGGCUUCUUAUUUGGAGGUUUUGAAACAGAGGCUGGAGGACCAUCUCUUGAGGGUGCUUUUAUUGUGCUUUUCCUGCAUACGAAGGGGUUGGAUUGGAUGGCCCAUGUGGUAUUUUCCAACUCUGUGAUUCUAUGUAUACUAUAAAUACUUUUAAUAAUUUCCUUAUGGAUCUUUAUUCACUGGAUAACAAAACAAAGUUGAAAUAUUUUCCUUGGAUCUGUUACAUGGUUUAUUUUUCUUGAACUUUAUUUUGGAAAGUCAAACUGAUGCUAACUCUAUUAGUAAAACGUCCAUUAAUUGUGUUACCAUUUUUAAAAAGCCACUUAAAUUAGCCCUUGUAUGUGAUGUCUGUUUGCAUUUUUUCAUAUGCAUUGUUUGUAUGUGCUUUGAAAUUGUGAGUUAUAGUGACCCUAUGAAUUUCCUAGCUUCAGACAAUAGUUUUUCUGGUUCCCAGUCUUUUGAUUUGUAAUACAAAUCUAUUUUCACAUUGUCCCUAAAUUAUGCAGCAUGUUCUUCAGAUCUUAUUAUGAGACUAUGGUUAGUUAAUUUUUGAUUUUAGCACUUACCAUUUUUUUUCAAAUCAGCAGUCAAAUUGUGACAUGAUUUGUGUCACAAUCUGCUUCUGGUAUUUGCAGAGAGAAUGAAGUUUCUCCAUCUUCUUCCCAUUAUACAGUCUAUUUGAUUUCUGUAUUGACUAUCAGGUUGUGUCCAUGUGUAUAGUUAUCUCUUUGAUUGCUUGAACAACUGUUGGAUUCACAAAAUUAACUCAGUCUCUCUUCUGCUUCAUGUUUUGAUCCUAAGCCAAAUUUCCUAUAACCUUUGAUUCUGUUUUGUUUUUUACUUAUGCAUUCUAAUUGCCCAUGAGUCACAAGUCCGGUUUUGGCAUGUAUCCAGUACAGAAUAUUUCAGUUUUUUCUGUCUCUGCAAUUGGAGAACGCUCAUCAAUUUGGGCAAACUUUUGUUGUAUUUUAUGUGUGUUGUGUUGCACUUUUGUUGCCAUGUAAGCCGCCCAGAUUCUCUUCUGGGAGAUGGUGGUGGAAUAUAAAUAAAGAUAUUAACUUGAAUUAUUAUUGUAUUGAUUGGUUUUUACUGAAGCCUUGUUAUGAUUUAGUAAGACAUUGCAUUAUAUCCUUUGACUAUUUUUGUUACAUCUCUACCCACUAUUAAUGCCAUGCCAUUUACUGAGGAAAACACUUUCCUUGAAGUUUCUAGUCUUUGAAGUGUCUUAGGCUAAAAUGUAUGUUUUUGUGGUUUUUUUUCCAGUAAAGUAUAUAUCCCCUUUCCCAGUUUUCACAUCUAUAUUUAAGACUGAGGUGUUCCUUCAAGCAUAGUUAAAAGGUUCAGUUUUAACUGUGCAAGAUAAGGGGAUAUAAAUAUGGUAUAGAAUGCUUUGGGAUCACUAAACUGAACCAAAUAGUGUAUAUUAACUUGGAGUCUUUGGCUAAAUUUUUCAAAUUCUCCAUGCCAUCAAAAAAUGAGCUCAGUAAAUUAUAUUCAUUCACACACACAAGCACACACAGGAUUUGUUUGGCACUUUUUCUAGAACAGGGAUGAGGAUUGUAUUCCCUUCCAGAUCUUGUUGCAGUUCUCAUUAGGGUGACUCCCACUUCUGGGGAAAAUAUAGGAUAGAAAUAAAAUAAAUAAAAUUAACUGUCCUAGCCUUCAAAGCCAAUGUUGAAAGAUGAUGGGAGUUGCAAUUCAAUCUAUGAUGGCAUUUUGUCUUCUUUCUUUUAGAGAAUAAUUCCAUUAGUUUUUAUUUUAAUGCCUACUAUUUACCAAGUUACUAUAGCAGCUUACAAAACUUAAAAAUUAAAACAAGUUAUAGUGAAAGCAUUAGAUACCACAUUUAUGUGAUUCCAUUUUCAAAUCCAGUUUGUGAAUGUUUCAGUAAUGGCAUCAUUUGUUUCCAUAACCUACUUAAAUUUGUUAUGAUGAUGAUACUUUGUCAUGUAAUUAUUUUUCUUAUAAGGACUCUAAUGAAAAUGUAUUCAGGUGAAUAUGCUGCACCUACAGUGAUUAAUGUUGGAAUGAAAUGGAGAAUAUGUGUAUAUACCGUAUGAAGUCCCUAUAUGUUUUGAUGGCUUUGUAAGGGCGGCAUUUUUGUCUCAUGCUGGUGAUAGAUAUAUUGAAAAGGUUUUAGCAGUCACAUUGUAGGUGUGACAGAUUUUUACUCUUGGAGUGACUAUUCCUGCCAUUAGAGGGAUGUUCUGAAUGAUCUUUUUGUGAAGUAUUGGUCCUUCUCUUCUACAGAUAAAGAAUUGAAGGUUACAGACUACUUUCUUUUUCAGUGACUAUUAAAAGCUUGGUUGAGUUUCUGUAGUGAAACAUUAAACCUAUGAAAUAGGAUCUUUCAUGAUCGUCCCCUGAGAGUGUUUCAGAGCCAUGGAGAAAGCAGAUGUCAUGGCUAUGAGUGUUUGUGUGUGACUUCAGGUUGCCUGUUGACUUGGGGUAUUUGAGCCCAUGGCUAUUUCCCUUUCUCUUAUACUGGAUAGGCCAAAAGUCACUAAAGGAUUUCAGUAUUAAUAACUACUUUAUUUUUUGUUUUUAAUUUACAAUACCAUAGUAUCAUAUGCAUGAAAUACAUUUACAUUAUGUGUGACAAAUCAGAUCUCAUCCAAUAUUAUUCAUCAUAUCUAUAUAUAUAAAAGGAUAAAAAAAAUUCGGCCUAGGACAAAACAACAAAACUACACAUCCCAGAAACACUAAAUUUGGCAACACAACCCCUCAUCCAUGCCUCUACGUUCAUACAACAAAAAGAAAAGAAAAAUAAAGUCCUAAUUAGAGGUAGAGGAAUAAUUGUUUUUUAUCCAAUUGCUGCCAGUUACAAGGCUAAACUCUGCCCACUUGGUCUCCUAGCAACCUACUCAGCCCAGGGACAGGCACAGUUAGUCCUCAGGCCUCUUCCACACUGCCUAUAAAAUACAGAUUAUCUGAUUUUAACUGGAUUAUAUGGCAGUGUAGACUCAAGGCCCUUCCACACAGCUAUAAUACCCAUUUAUAAUCUUAUAUUAUCUGCUUUGAACUGGAUUAUCUUGAGUCCACACUGCCAGAUAAUUCACUUUAGUGUGCAUUUUAUACAGCUGUGUAGAAGGGGCCUCAUAUAAUCCAGUUCUAAGCAGAUAAUAUAAGAUUAUAAAUAUACAGUAGAGUCUCACUUAUCCAACAUAAACAGGCCGGCAGAACGUUGGAUAAGUGAAUAUGUUGGAUAAUAAGGGAUUCAGGAAAAGCUGAUUAAACAUCAAAUUAGGUAAUGAUUAUGCAAAUUAAGCACCAAGCAUUAUGUUAUACAAGCAUUAUAAGCACCAAGCAUUAUAUUCUACUGUAAUAUGAAAUAAUUACUGUGGUAAUCCAGUCCAACCCAAUUCUUCCAUGGAGGACACAAUCCAAGCACGCCCAACAGAUGGCCGCUCUCAAUAAUAAUAAUAAUAAUAAUAAUAAUAAUAAUAAUAAUAAUAAUAAUAAUAUCAUACAGUCAUAUGGUUAGGAGACACCCCUAAGGAUCAUCCAGUUCCACUUCCUUCUACCAUGCAGGACGACACAAACCAAGCACUCCUGACAGAUGGCCAUCCAAGGUCUGCACAGUAAUAAUACAAAUCGAAUAAUAGAAUCAGAUAGUUAGGAGAGACCCCUAAAGGCCAUCCAGUCCAACCCAACUCUGUCAUUGGACGAUACAAUCCAAGCACUCCCAACAGAUGGCCAGCCAGCCUCUUAAUAAUAAUAAUAAUAAUAAUAAUAAUAAUAAUAAUAAUAAUAAUAAUAAUAAUAAUAUCAUACAAUCCUAAGGUUAGCAGAUACCCCCCUAAGGACCAUCCAGUUCAACUUCCUUAUAUCAUGUAGGAGGACACAAUCCAAUCACUCCUGACAGAUGGCCAUCCAAUAUCAGCACAAUAAUAAUACACAUCGAAUCAUAGCAUCAGACAGUUAGGAGACACCCCUAAAGGCCAUCCAGUCCAACCCAAUUCUGCCAUGCAGGACACAAUCCAAGCACUCCCAACAGAUGGCCACCCAGCCUCUCAAUACUAAUACUAAUAAUAACAACAACAACAACAUCAUACAAUCCUAAGGUUUGGAGUGACCCGUAAGGAUCAUCCAGAUCAACUUCCUUCUACCAUACAGGAGGACACAAUCCAAGCACUCCUGACAGAUGGCCAUCCAGCCUCUACAUAAUAAUGAUGAUGAAGAUGAUGAUGAUGAUGAUAAUAAUAAUAAUAAUAAUAAUAAUAAUAAUAAUAGAAGCAUAGAAUCCAAGAGUUUGGAGAGAUCCCUAAGGGCCAUCCAGCCCAACCCUUUAUACUAUGCAGCAGGACACAAUCAAAGCAUUCACAACACAUGGACAACGUAUAAAUACUAUACAAUACUACACAGGGACAUAGACCCCCUCUACCCUCACCACUUUCACAGUACACAAACAACCAAAUGCAUACUAAACAUAAAGACAACCAUACAAUAGACAUUCAAUACCACCGUUACCUCAACAAGUUCUCACCAAUACCACCAGACAAUACCACAGCAACGCGUGGCCGGGCACAGCCAGUACAAUAUAUAUUAGACCCCCUUUAGCCCACCCUGUACAUAUGAGACCUUCAGAUGUUUUUGUGUGUUCAGGAUUGUUUUCAUUUCCUAGAUUUUUUCGCCUGUGGUAACAUUACAUUCUUGUUGUGUUCCUGUAAAGCUCUGCCUUUACAAAUAGUUGACAUGCAGUUGGAUAAGGAUUUAUAAUUCAGAAAUAGCAAUUUCUUUAAAGGAAGGCUGGAUCAAUUCAAUCUUUCUUACGAACUAUCAGACUGUAUAAUACUAUGCAGCACAUCAUUAAAAGAAAUAUGGAUAAGGUACAAGUGCUUUGAGGACAUCAUUAGGACCAGAUGGGCAGUGGUUCUUGCUUUUUCAGAAUUCUCACAGGAGCAAUACAGUCAAUCUAGCAUGAAAUACACAUGGACUUUUCUUGCUCUACAGUUAGAAUUGUAAGAUGCCUUACCUUACUUUGUUUCAAAAUGGAUGAGGUAACUUGGAAUUAAGCUAUGUUUGUGGGCUUGUUCGUUGGCCAUCUCUACUCUGUACCAUAUCCCAUUUUUGUUUUUGAUUUGGUAAAAAGGCUUUUAAAAACCCCACCAUGGAAGAAAUAGCUAAAUCAGCUGAGAACCAUAAACUUGUUGUAACACUGGAGAGUUUGUAAUCUUGUAAAGUCUUCAAUGCAAAACAAUUUUUUGUGUGUGAAUCUUUCCAGGAAUUUCCACAGCCAAAUAAAGGAAAGCUGCUUCCUUGAAAAUUCUUACGAAUAGGAUAUUUUGUGAUACUGAGAAGCUUGAGAGAAUUUGGCUGAAGUAUGGUUUACUAGUACAAAACAAUCAAUAGAAAUUGAUUGAAAGCCCCCACAUGCGAGCUGCUAUUACUGCAAAGAAUUUUUAAAAAUUAAUUGUGCUAAAUGUAUGGUAUUCUACAUGAUGAUUAUUCCAUUUAAACUGGCUUGUGUAUCUUGUGUAUCAACAGGUCUUACAUAGAUCUUUGGCAUAGUAGUUACUUAGGUGAUCUCUUGUUGUCCGAGCAUGAUGGCCCUCCAAGUGUAGUGUUUUGGUGGUGGAUAUGUAGGUGACUGUAGAGCCCUGUUCUUGACCCGCAUAUUCUUCCACAGUGAGGGCACCAAUUUCCAGUGGAAGGCGGUCUCGGUCAGGUUUGGUUUGACAUGCCUUCCUCUUGGCAUGUUUCUCCCUCUAUUCAUGCCUCUUCAAAUUCCACAGCACUAUACACACAGACCUUAUAUUGGUGUUCAGUCUGCUGAGCUGAGCUAUGAAAGUGGGAGUAAGGGUGUAUGGCUGCAAAUUGAAACCUCAGUCCCACUGUUUCUGAUUUGUCCUUCAGGACACUUCAAAUCAACUUUAGGGAGGGGGCUUUAAAUGGUUCAGCCAGACAGGUCCUGGGCCUUACCAAACUACAAACCCCAGAAUUCUUCAGGAGGCAGAAACCGGAUUUGAAGUGGAUUCAUGUUCUUGUGUGAUGAGUCAGUAAGUCUUUGAUUUGCCUGUACUGAGUCAGGAGAUUUGAAGUGGUAAGUCUACUUUUGUUCAAUCAAGUUGAAUUGUAGCCCAGGUACAUAGAAUGCUACUUAGGUAUUAAAAAGAAGAAUACAUGGAUUGUACCCUCAGACUAAUUUUGGAGGAUGUAUAUAUUAUAAAGUGGCAUAGGGUUUAGGAUGUGUUGUAAAGAUUUUCAUUCUAUUGUUUCUCUUAGUGGUAUAUAUAGUAUGUCUUGAUUUCCUUUGUUUCUUCCACACACUGGUGCAUUGAGCUGAGUAUUAGAGGUCCAGCAAGGUCACUCAGUGAGUUUCAUAGUUAAGCCAAUAUUUGAACUUUCCCCUCUUCUGUUAAUGUAAUUUUAAUCUUGUACUAAACUAACAUGCUAUUAUCAUUAUUUAAAUUCGUUCUGCAAUCCACCUGCAUACUCAUGCAUGCCUAACUAGUAUAUUUGGUAUGUACUAUGGCAGAGAAAAGAGACAGGAGCAGUUUUGGAACAUUGUUUGUUCUACGGUACAAGUACAGCAGAUCUGCCAUAUCUGUUGACUUAACUAACAGUGGAUCCAUUUUUUUAAAAUACAGGGGUAUUGGCAUUGGAUGUUCUUGCUCAUUUGUUUUUGUGUCCUCUGGAAGCUAUUUUCUAUCCUGUGAUUGGUGGCUGAGGCAAGCAGCUUCUUCAGGGACACUCCCAAUUGAGAAUGAAUGAACCAAUAGCUCCAAGCUGUGACUCCCUUUCCAUUUUACUCCAAGAUGAAAUUUUCCAGAGAAGAUGAGAAGAGCAGAAUUAUUGGGUGAGAAGAUGAAUCGGGGCUUGGAAAUAUAGCUGGGUUAUCUUCGUACAGUGUGAGGAGUGAAGGCCUGGUGCAGGAGAAGAUACAGAGAGGAGCAGGGGAACAGAAAGAAUGCAUUGAUGAGACUUUGAAAUGUGUCUGGGGCAUCUUGGUGGAAGGUGGGAAGACUUAAGGCCAAUUACUGUGUUCCCAAAGAAGCUGCUCACUGCUGAAUGAAUGAUCAGAAGUACCAUUGCCUAUGAUGCCCUGUCCCCAGUGUUCAGGAUUUGUUGUGCUGCCUCCUCUUUUAUCCUUCACCCACGUUCACAUAGGGAUUUUUUUUAACAGUCUUUUAUCCUGUUUCCCCGAAAAUAAGACAUCCCCAGAAAAUAAGACCUAUUAGAGGUUUUGCUGAAUUACUAAAUAUAAGGCCUCCCCCGAAAGUAAGACCUAGCAAAGUUUUUGUUUGGAAGCAUGCCCAACGAACAGAACACCAGAGCAUGCAGAAUCGGGAAAUGUAUGUAUCAUAGAUUGCUGUAUAUGGAAAUAGUGGUAGUAACAAGAAUAUCUUGAUAGGAUUCACAGUUUGUCUGGUUAUGCUGGUUCGUGUUGACAACUACUGAACAGUGUAUAAUAAAUGUUCAUUUUUUUUGGUUCAAUAAUAAAUAUGAAUUCUUCUUCAUGGAAAAAUAAGACAUCCCCUGAAAGUAAGACCUAGCACAUCUUUGGGAGCAAAAAUUAAUAUAAGACACUGUCUUAUUUUCGGGGAAACACGGUAGGGUUUGGAAUUUGGUGCAGGGUAAUGAGACAGGGGGAGCCAAACUGUCGUGUUUUUGUGGCAGCGCGAGUGUUUCCCCAUACUUUUAAUGCCUAGGGCUUGUGAGGCUGGCAAAAUAGGUAUUGGAGGGGCCAUUCAUUACUUGUGCAUUGCACUUUCCCUGUCUCAAAGUUAAAGAGGAAGACAAUGACAAGUUCAGGAGUAUGAGGAAGAAGUCCUUUGGGAUAGGUGCCAAAUAUACAUAGUUAGCAUAAAGUAGAUCAGAUUGGGAAUUCAGACUGAAACAAGAUACAGUAGAGUCUCGCUUAUCCAGCCUUCACUUAUCCAAUGUUCUGUAUUAUCCAACGCAGUCUGCCUUUUAAUAGUCAAUGUUUUUGUUGUCAAUUUUCAAUGCAUUGCAAUGUUUUGGUGCAAAAUUUGUGAAUACAGUAAUUACUACUAACGUUACCAUGUAUUGAACUACUUUUUCUGUCGAUUUGUUGUAAAACAUGAUGUUUUGGUGCUUAAUUUGUAAAAAUCAUAAAGUCAUUUGGGCAAACAGAAGGUCAGCUGCCUGUCCUCCCAUCCUUUUUGCCUUGUUUUUAUUUAUGUUGCACUUUGAAAUGGUCAUAUGACUGGUCAAACAAAUAAAUUAUUAUUAUUAUUAUUAUUAUUA
This is an RNA transcript of Anolis carolinensis (green anole), 12989 nucleotides long. It is a transcript of the gene named pleckstrin homology and FYVE domain containing 2, with no coding region annotated. The record is from RefSeq and is a predicted model, not a curated record. The transcript has 2 exons. NCBI's taxonomy places the organism in Eukaryota, Metazoa, Chordata, Lepidosauria, Squamata, Anolidae.